GAAACCCUCACCUUUGCAGCCCAAGGUAAGUGAAAACACUUAUGGUUUAGCUUAAUUAUGUCAUGAAAGAUUAGGAAAACAUGCUAUUGGUGCCUAAUUAUAAAUACAUGGCAGAAUAUAGAACAAGCUACUUGCUCAUUUUUUCUUUGUUACUAAGAGAUCUCUUUUCUUCUUUGGUUUAAAGUGUGAAGGAAAGUGAAAGUUGAAGUUUUGAGGAGU
Molecule: long non-coding RNA, 219 nt
Filed under: Capsicum annuum
Lineage: Eukaryota; Viridiplantae; Streptophyta; Magnoliopsida; Solanales; Solanaceae
Description: long non-coding RNA (CANN_LNC009530)
Source: RNAcentral